AUAAGGCAAGAAAAAGGCAGUGCAUAUAUUGGAUGGUAAGAGCCUCCAACCCCACCACAAGUGACAUAACAAGACCAGAAAUACAACCUUCCCAUUUCACUCCCCAUUCCCAUCACACUUCUUUUCAUUUUCAAUCACAUUUCUUCACACCAAAAAAGACUCUUCCACCACAGCAUAUAAAAGAAACCUUCAAGUUUGGGUUUUUCUUGUUAUACUUGGUGCUUUUGCUUCUUUUGAGCUAUAUUCUCUAUCCCUCCUCACCUUUCUUCAUCAUUUCCAAGAUUGAGUUUUUGGGGUGCGAAAACAAUAAGUCUUGAGAAGAAAGAAUUAAGGGAUAUAUAUUGAUCAGAGAGGAGAAACUAAAGGAGGAAAACGGGAUUGAAGAAGAGUGAAAUGCAAAGUAAUUGUUUUGUUUCUUGGUGCGGCAUUUGGAAGCUGAAUUUGCAUUCUCAUCAUCACCUCCAAAACUUGCAACAGCUUUACAAGCAAUAUAGUUGGAUUUCCCGCGAUGACGUCUUAUGGUUUUGGCACUGAAUGUAGACAGCAUUUGUGAAUAUAUAACAUAGCAUUGAACUGAAUUUUGAGUUCAUCCCGCCAAGAUAGAAGCUCCUCUCACUUGCUGCUUAAGGCCUCUCUGUUCCUAGUAGAUUCUUGGAACUUCUUC
Sesamum indicum (sesame) is the source of this 664-nucleotide non-coding RNA. The record is from RefSeq and is a predicted model, not a curated record. Lineage: Eukaryota; Viridiplantae; Streptophyta; Magnoliopsida; Lamiales; Pedaliaceae.